GCGCGAAAACUUUGCAAUGCGGGAAACCGUGACAAGGGAACUCCGAGUGCCCGUAAAUUCGGGCUGUCCAUCAGUUUAAAUAACUGGUGAAGAAAGGGCCGGGCAAGACCGGUGCCAGCCGCCGCGGUAAUACCGGCGGCUCGAGUGGUGGCCACUAUUACUGGGCUUAAAGCGUCCGUAGCUGGUCUGUUAAGUCUCUGGGGAAAUCUGCCGGCUUAACCGGCAGGCGUCUCAGGGAUACUGGCAGACUAGGGACCGGGAGAGGUGAGGGGUACUCCAGGGGUAGGAGUGAAAUCCUGUAAUCCUUGGGGGACCACCUGUGGCGAAGGCGCCUCACCAGAACGGCUCCGACAGUGAGGGACGAAAGCUGGGGGAGCAAACCGGAUUAGAUACCCGGGUAGUCCCAGCUGUAAACGAUGCGCGUUAGGUGUAUCGGUGACCACGAGUCACCGAGGUGCCGAAGGGAAACCGUGAAACGUGCCGCCUGGGAAGUACGGUCGCAAGGCUGAAACUUAAAGGAAUUGGCGGGGGAGCACCGACAACGGGUGAGCCUGCGGUUU
RNAcentral lists this ribosomal RNA (560 nucleotides) under uncultured Methanomicrobiales archaeon. Its description in RNAcentral is "bacterial SSU rRNA". It matches the Rfam family "Archaeal small subunit ribosomal RNA", at positions 339 to 903 of the family's 1478-position model. Lineage: Archaea; Methanobacteriati; Methanobacteriota; Methanomicrobia; Methanomicrobiales. The record is from RNAcentral.